This is a non-coding RNA of Hydra vulgaris (swiftwater hydra), 437 nucleotides long. The record is from RefSeq and is a predicted model, not a curated record. NCBI's taxonomy places the organism in Eukaryota, Metazoa, Cnidaria, Hydrozoa, Anthoathecata, Hydridae.
GUGGACAACCACCUUUUAGUAAUUGGACUCAAAGCAUAUCGACCGAGAGAAAAGCCCAAGUUUACUAAUCGAAUGAAGACACAUCAAAAUAAUUGAAAGGAGCAUGAGGCCUGAAAAAAAAAAAGAUCGGGGCAAGGUGGUAUUUCCUGAGUCCACAAUUGCAGUCUUAGAUGACAGAGUCCAGCCAGUUUUAAGAAAGCUAGUAGAAAAGUUUAAACCUGACUGCUUAGACAAGAUUGUGAAAAAAGAUUGUGACAAAGAUCAUAGUCAAGGAAACCAUAUCUGUGUAUACGACAUUUAAUAUUCCGGAUUGUACGUUAUAUACGUUAUGAAAACUCCGCAUACGACAUUUUUAUUCCGGAUUGUACGUAUGAACAUAUUGCUUUCUCUUUGUAAGAUAACUUUAAAUCCAGGAAUAGAUUGUAUUAUUUAUACCA